GCCCAGCCGUAAACUUUUACUUACAUCCAAAUUGCCUGGGAACUACGAGCUAAGCUUAAAACCCAAAGGACUUGACGGUACCCCAUAUCCCCCUAGAGGAGCCUGUCCUAUAAUCGAUAAUCCACGUUUAACCUCACCAUUUUUAGUUAAUCAGCCUGUAUACCUCCGUCGUCAGCUUACCACGUGAGCGCCAAUUAGUGAGCCUAAUGAUAUUUCACCAACACGUCAGGUCAAGGUGCAGCAAAUAAAAUGGGAAGAGAUGGGCUACACUUUCUACUAUAGAAGAAACGAAAAACUACUUAUGAAACCUAGUUGGAAGGCGGAUUUAGCAGUAAAAAGGAACUAGCAUGUCCAUUUUAACUCGGCACUGGGGUGUGU
Molecule: ribosomal RNA, 378 nt
Filed under: Vandijkophrynus gariepensis (Karroo toad)
Lineage: Eukaryota; Metazoa; Chordata; Amphibia; Anura; Bufonidae
Description: partial 12S ribosomal RNA
Rfam family: Bacterial small subunit ribosomal RNA
Source: RNAcentral